Molecule: non-coding RNA, 23 nt
Filed under: Arabidopsis thaliana (thale cress)
Lineage: Eukaryota; Viridiplantae; Streptophyta; Magnoliopsida; Brassicales; Brassicaceae
Source: RNAcentral
CCGCGUGCCGGCCGGGGGACGGA